AUAGUUUAAUAGCUGAAAAGGCGCGCGAGAGCGUGACGGGCAGCAGAGUCUCGCUAUCGGAUCCUGGAUUUUUGGCACCGAAAAUAGCAGGGCGGGCGCUCGGUGUGCGGCGCUCACGCAGUGCGUGUCGCUCCGCCGUGUGAACAGCCCGCUCGUGAGGCCCAUUGGCGUAUUUUCUGUAGAAAAAGCAAACACACAAAGCCGCCACCAUGGACGCGAUCAAGAAGAAGAUGCAGGCGAUGAAGCUGGAGAAGGACAACGCCAUGGACAAGGCGGACACCUGCGAGCAGCAGGCCAGGGAUGCCAACCUCCGCGCCGAGAAGGUGAAUGAGGAAGUCCGUGAGCUUCAGAAGAAGCUGUCGCAGGUGGAGGAGGUCCUCACCCAGAGCAAGAACCAGCUCGAGACCGCCACCAAGACCCUCGAGGAGAAGGAGAAGACCCUCACCACCACCGAGGCUGAGGUCGCCUCCCUCAACAGGAAGGUUCAGCAGAUUGAGGAGGACCUUGAGAAGUCCGAGGAAAGGUCCGGCACUGCCCAGCAGAAGCUGCUCGAGGCCCAGCAGUCCGCUGACGAGAACAACCGUAUGUGCAAGGUGCUGGAGAACAGGGCGUCGCAAGACGAGGAGCGCAUGGACCAGCUCACCAACCAGCUCAAGGAGGCCCGUCUGCUCGCUGAGGACGCCGACGGCAAGUCCGACGAGGUGUCCCGCAAGCUGGCCUUCGUUGAAGACGAGCUGGAGGUCGCCGAGGACCGCGUCAAGUCCGGAGACUCCAAGAUCGGCGAGCUUGAGGAGGAGUUGAAGGUCGUAGGUAACUCCCUGAAGUCCCUGGAGGUAUCCGAAGAGAAGGCCAACCAGCGCGUGGAGGAGUUCAAGAAGCAGCUCAAGACCCUCACGACCAAGCUGAAGGAGGCCGAGGCCCGCGCUGAGUACGCCGAGAAGACCGUUAAGAAACUGCAGAAGGAGGUCGACAGGCUCGAAGACUCAUUGUGGAAAGAGAAGGAGAAAUACAAGGCGAUAUGCGAUGACUUGGACGGAACAUUCGCUGAACUCACAGGAUACUAACCGCCCUAGCUUAGUUUAAGACAACACCGUCCAACACAAAUUAUCCGUAGAGUCCAUUUGUAUGCCCUUCGAGGAGUUUAGACUUCUCGCCUACGCGUGAUUACGUGUAGCUGAUGAGAGAAUCAGCGCAGCCAUUUCCGUUUUAAUUUUCUUUCUCACUAAUCCCCCUGUUCUUUAGAGGAUUGUUGAUAUUUGAGCCAGAACACAUUUUUAUAACGAGCGCAUUUAUUGUUCCUCGGUAAAGGACUAAAAUUGAAUUGGCAAUCAUUGUACCUAAUACUGUUUUCAUAUUUAAAACUGUAUUAACGUAAAGUGUAAAAACGUGUUCUCUUACUCCUGAACGUCUGCAGAAUUUUGUCAAGUAGUUUAGCUUUUAAACAGAAAAUAAAACUGUCUUUUGGGGCAACUUGUGACAAGGUAUUUAGGUAAAGCUUGCAAAUCCUUGUCACAAGGGUUCUAAAUGACGACGGUGGUUUUUGCAAAAUGGAUGCAAAAGGUGUUUUAAUGCAUGGAAAUAAAGUUCUAAUUCCGAGCAUGCUAGGACGUUCAGACAAUCCUGUAUAGAUCGCAUAGUUUUAAGGCCCCGCUUUUCGUGUUGUGACUAACAUGUCUUACGCUUUGCUGCUACCGGCGGACAAUGCUUUCAAGACGAGCUGGGCAUCAACAAGGACAGAUACAAGUCCCUGGCUGACGAGAUGGACUCCACCUUCGCCGAGCUGGCCGGAUAUUAAAAAAAAAUAAGCUCCCGCGCACUCCAAUACAAACCCACGAGCCAUUUCUUUCUAUCACACUUGUGCGACAGAGAGAGACUCUUGCGUUUGUCUAUGUAACAAUUCAUACUGCUGCCUGCAGAAAUGGACAUCGACUAUCGUGAUGUAAUAAUAUUUAUUAUUUUAUGUAAAUUUAUUUACGAUUUUCAAUAAAAUUAAUUUAUAACAUC
RNA transcript from Cydia strobilella, 2004 nucleotides. It is a transcript of the gene named tropomyosin-1, with no coding region annotated. The record is from RefSeq and is a predicted model, not a curated record. NCBI's taxonomy places the organism in Eukaryota, Metazoa, Arthropoda, Insecta, Lepidoptera, Tortricidae. The transcript is spliced from 9 exons.